CCAUGUGGAUGGUCCAACUG
This 20-nucleotide microRNA is filed under the name Ornithorhynchus anatinus (platypus). Its description in RNAcentral is "oan-miR-7429-5p". Lineage: Eukaryota; Metazoa; Chordata; Mammalia; Monotremata; Ornithorhynchidae. The record is from miRBase by way of RNAcentral.